AAAGUCGUAACAAGGUUUCCGUAGGUGAACCUGCGGAAGGAUCAUUACCGUGGGGCUUCGGCCCCAUUGAGAUAGCACCCUUUGUUUAUGAGUACCCUUGUUUCCUCGGCGGGCUUGCCCGCCAUGAGGACAUUUCAAACCCUUUUGUAGUAGCAGUAACUUCAGUUAAUAAUAAAUAUUAAAACUUUCAACAACGGAUCUCUUGGUUCUG
RNAcentral lists this unclassified non-coding RNA (211 nucleotides) under Ascomycota sp. RNAcentral describes it as "partial contains small subunit ribosomal RNA, internal transcribed spacer 1, and 5.8S ribosomal RNA". The stretch from base 1 to 47 matches the Rfam family "Eukaryotic small subunit ribosomal RNA", at positions 1785 to 1831 of the family's 1831-position model. Lineage: Eukaryota; Fungi; Ascomycota. The record is from RNAcentral.